Molecule: ribosomal RNA, 1406 nt
Filed under: Melanobatrachus indicus (Kerala Hills frog)
Lineage: Eukaryota; Metazoa; Chordata; Amphibia; Anura; Microhylidae
Description: partial 16S ribosomal RNA
Rfam family: Bacterial large subunit ribosomal RNA
Source: RNAcentral
GCCUCAAACAAAGCCCUACACCACGCCACAUACCCCCACCACAACACCCCCCCCCCAAAAAACAUUUUAACAAUUUAGUAAAGGCGAUUGAAAAAUACUUAGGAGCCCUAACAAUAGUACCGCAAGGGAAUUGUGAAAUAUAAAUGAAAUAAACCCAAGCACAACAAAGCAAAGAUUAAACCUUGUACCUUUUGCAUCAUGGUCUAGCUAGUCCAACCAAGCACAAUGAAUUUUAGUUUGACCCCCCGAAACUAGGCGAGCUACUUCAAAACAGCCUCUAAGAGCCAACCCGUCUCUGUUGCAAAAGAGUGGGAAGAUUUUCAAGUAGCAGUGACAGACCUACCGAGCCUAGAGAUAGCUGGUUAUUCAGGAAAAGGAUCUUAGUCCUACCUUAAACUUUUCUGUAACACAUAAUACAUUUUAAGAGCUAUUCAAAUAAGGUACAGCCUAUUUGAAACAGGAUACAACCUCCAAUAUUGGGUAAUGACAAACAAAACUGAUCUAGUGGGCCUAAAAGCAGCCACCUAACACAAAAGCGUUACAGCUUUAUCACUCCAAACAAUUAAUCCCCUAAAUAAUACAAAACCCACAACCACUACUGAAUGAUUCCAUGAUCACAUGGAAAACCCAAUGCUAGAACUAGUAACAAGAAAUCAACACUCUCCAAAAUGUAAGCAUAAGUCGGAAUGAACCCCUCACCGACAAUCACCGCCAAUGACCUUAUAGUAGCAACUCCACAAGAAAACUCUACCACAUUAAGCGUUAACCUUACACCAGAACAUUACCGGAAAGAUUUAAAAAAGAGGAAGGAACUCGGCAAAUAAACGAUCUCGCCUGUUUACCAAAAACAUCGCCUCCUGCCACAACAUAGGAGGUCCAGCCUGCCCAGUGACAAGUUAAACGGCCGCGGUACCCUAACCGUGCGAAGGUAGCACAAUCACUUGUUCUUUAAAUGAGGACUAGUAUGAACGGCAUCACGAAGAUCACGCUGUCUCCCCCUUUUAAUCAGUGAAACUGAUCUCCUCGUGAAGAAGCGAGGAUAUUUCUAUAAGACGAGAAGACCCCAUGGAGCUUUAAACUCAGUAACACUUGCCUCUACACAUAUCAACUCAAUUAAGCAAUCAUGUAUACUAGUUUUAGGUUGGGGUGACCGCGGAGUAAAACAAAACCUCCACAAUAAACGGAACUAACUUCCUAAUCAAAGACCCACAACUCAAAGAAUCAAUAAAUUGACAUAAAUUGACCCAAUUAAUUUUGAUCAACGAACCUAGUUACCCUGGGGAUAACAGCGCAAUCCAUUUCAAGAGCUCCUAUCGACAAAUGGGUUUACGACCUCGAUGUUGGAUCAGGGUAUCCAAGUGGUGCAGCCGCUACUAAAGGUUCGUUUGUUCAACGAUUAAAACCCU